AUUGAACGCUGGCGGCAUGCUUUACACAUGCAAGUCGAACGGCAGCGCGGGCUUCGGCCUGGCGGCGAGUGGCGAACGGGUGAGUAAUGCAUCGGAACGUGCCCAGUAGUGGGGGAUAGCCCGGCGAAAGCCGGAUUAAUACCGCAUACGACCUGAGGGUGAAAGCGGGGGACCGAAAGGCCUCGCGCUAUUUGAGCGGCCGAUGUCGGAUUAGCUAGUUGGUGGGGUAAAGGCUUACCAAGGCGACGAUCCGUAGCUGGUCUGAGAGGACGACCAGCCACACUGGGACUGAGACACGGCCCAGACUCCUACGGGAGGCAGCAGUGGGGAAUUUUGGACAAUGGGGGCAACCCUGAUCCAGCCAUGCCGCGUGCGGGAAGAAGGCCUUCGGGUUGUAAACCGCUUUUGUUCGGGAAGAAAUCCUCUGGGAUAAUACCCCGGGGGAUGACGGUACCGGAAGAAUAAGCACCGGCUAACUACGUG
RNAcentral lists this ribosomal RNA (483 nucleotides) under uncultured bacterium. RNAcentral's name for it is "partial 16S ribosomal RNA". It matches the Rfam family "Bacterial small subunit ribosomal RNA", at positions 29 to 507 of the family's 1533-position model. The record is from RNAcentral.